Molecule: RNA transcript, 6970 nt
Organism: Biomphalaria glabrata
Lineage: Eukaryota; Metazoa; Mollusca; Gastropoda; Planorbidae
Gene name: kinesin-like protein KIF15
Exons: 4
Source: RefSeq, a predicted model, not a curated record
CUAUAUCUGAAUUUUAGAUCUAGAUCUUGAUCUAAAUGAUCUUGAUUAAUCUUGAUAAUACUUGAUCUAAUUAUCUAUAUCUAAUUCAUUAACUCCUUCACUGAAAGUUUCAGUGCCUGACUUGACUUAGUCGACUUAGACUUUUAGUAGUUUUAGAGUUAGACUCUGAGUCUUAGUACUCUUAGACAACAUUGAUUUAGUUAGAUUCUAGAUCUAUAUAUAAUAUUAUUAUUAAUAUAAAAUAUAGAUCUAGUCAAGUACUAGUACUAAGACACUGACUAUAUAGAUCUAGAAUAAUCUAGAUCUACUAUCUAUAUUCCAGCCCAGUCUACUCUACUGACUACCUCUAGUUACUCUAGUUAGUAAACUCUAGUUUAUCAAGUAUAUCUACUCUGACUAUAGUCUAUAACACUAUAUUAGAAUCCAAACUAUAUUUAUAUUUUAGACUACUCAACUACUGUAUUAACUAAUAGUGUGUGUAUAGAUCUAGAUCUAGUAUUUAUGUAUUAAAAAGUUACUGGAUGCAGAAUUCUAUACUAGUGACUAUAUCUAGACUACAUAAAACUAGAUGUACAUACAUUAGAUUUAGAUCAGUUUGAUUGAUUUAUUUUGUUAGCUUGAUUAACAUUCAUAUUUAUAAUUAGAUCAUGACUCUACUAUAUAUCUAUGUCUAUAUUAUAUAGAAAAAUAGAUCUAGAUAGCUUUUUUUUUUUUUUUGGUUUAAGUUUAAUGAGAUGGGGUAUUUCAAUCUCAUGAAAUUAAAGCUGCUAAUCAUGCUGAUUGCUAUCAUUAUUAUCAUACUCAUGCUUUAUGAGUAGGAUUAAAAUGCUGAUAUGACAGAACAUCAUGAUCAUCAUGCAGCCCAGAGUGCCCAGACCAUUGCUAUGUAGUCCUUUAUUUAAUUCUAUGAUGAAUCUAGGCUACUUACAUUUUAUAUAAUUACUAGAUUGUCUAGAUCUACAAUAGAAUAUCUACUUCAAUGUUUAUCUAAUUACUUGAUCUACAAUACAAUCUACUAUCAAAUAUUACUCAAGAAUUAUUUAAGAUUUUCCAUUGGAUUAUUCACUUAUGCACCCACAUUCUUUUAUCUGAUAUCAUGCCAAGACAAAGAAAAAGAAAGCUUUCAUCCUGUACAAAUGUUGAAGACACUAUUUUGUACAAAUUCCUUUAUGAAAAUUUUAAUUAUUCUGAACUUUCACCAGAUGACAAUAAUAAACUAUGCUUAAAAGGACAUGUCCUCCUAAUUUAUCUGCAAAAUCAGUCCUCCCAAACAUCCUCAGCAGAAAUUGUUGCUUCAACUUUUGGAUUCCCAUUUAAUCCAUGUUUAAUUUCAAAAGUUCAUUAUUUAACUGAAUGCACCAUUGCAAAGUAUAAAAGUAAUGUAACAAAAUAUUUGUCAGAAAUUCAAAACAUUUGCUAUCAAAAAUUUUACCAGUUACCUAGCACAACUGCUCCUAACUCUGAUUUAACUCCAACAAAAGCUAUACAACCAACUGAAAUAAAUCAUGUUACUGAAAUAAAUCCUGUUUCAUCAAAUUUAAGAAGCAAUGAUGAAUUAACCCCUUGUAGAAGACAUUUAAAAAGACGACUUUCUUUUGUGUCCCAGGCAAGAAGUGAAGACAAGAAUAAAUAUAGGAAAAAAAUAUGUUUAUUAAAAUCUCAAAUUAACUCUCAGCCUAACCUUAUUAAAAAUCUUAGACGGUCUGUUCACCGAAAAAAUGAGAGGAUUAUUAAGUUGUUAAAAAAAUUGCACAAAUAUGAAAUUGCUUCUGGCAAAUUUUUUUUAAAAUGUAAAAAAUGUAUUUGGUAAACAAAAAAGCAUCAAGAGGUAUUAAAGAAAAUGAAAUCAUCAUUUAAUAAAGAAUUGGCUGUGAAGGACGCUAUCACAACAUCUCUUCAAAGUGAUAAACUACUUCUUGAAGAUGAACUUAAAGAACUAAAAGAAAAUAAAGCUAGGUCCCUUAAAAAAAAUAAUAAAACAUAUGAUGUUAUGACAAGGUUAAUGUUUUUUAAUUGUCUUUUAUACCAGGCCCCAACCUCUUCCAUCUCCCCUAUAGUUAGUAGUUUAUCACAGAGAUUGGGUGUUCUUCUUGAUUGCGUCCCUCACAGAACAUCAGUAGACAACUUUGUAAGAGAACUUGGUGUUAUUUCAGACCUACAAGCCGCUGAAGUUGCCAUGAAAACACCACAUCUAACUCUUGGGUUUGAUUCCACAACCCAAGAGGGUGUACUUGUCAAUUCAGUACAUCUCACCACUCCAACUGAUACUUUUGUUAUAGCUUUAGAUCAGUUGAGUGGUGGGAGGGCUGAGGACUAUGAAAAAUACUUAAUUGAAUCAAUAAAAAAUUUAGCAUAUGCUUACUCAGAUUUUCAUAAGAUAGAGUUUUCCACUUGUCAUAAUGAAAUUAUCAAAAAUAUUUCCAACACUAUGUCAGACCGGGCAUCAGUGAAUCAUGCUUCCAUAGUUAAAUUAAAUGCAUUAUGGGGUAAAACCUUAAAUGAACUUAAUUGCCACCUGCACCCACUUGAUAGUAUUUCAAAAGGCUGCAGGUUGGCACUUAAGUCCCUGCAGACAGAAAGGAGCAGCCUUAUUGGGAGUGACUGCAUAGCAAGCAACAUUGUCUUACAAAUAGACAAACUCAGGUAUCAAGAUGGAAAGGGUGACCCCAAAAAUUUUAUUUCCUUUGUACUUAAUGAAAAUUUACCGAAGGGCCUUAUUCCACAGUAUAGGGGAAAUCGUUUGCAUGUGUUUUUCCGUACUUGUGGAAUAUUGGUCCUUCAUUAUGACCAAAUAUUAUCAUUUUUAAAAUCCCCUGCCCUUUCCUCUGGAUCGCUGAUAAGUUGCCUGCACAGUGACCUCAAUAGUGAAACUGGGAAGAAACAACUUUUUGUUAUGGGUAUGGUAGGGAAACUGCUGACAAGCCCUUGGAUGAAAAAAUUUUACAUUGCGCCUGGUGCGCAAGCUGUUUCUCAUCUUGGGGCUAUCACAGUCAUUAAAGAAGUUCUAGCCCAGGUAGAUCAAUGCCUUAAUAAUCCCUUCAUUAUUUUCACAAGAAACCUAGACUUCUUUGGUGUUAAUGAUCCCAUACUGGAGGUUCUUUUGCUCUGCCCUCAAGAUAAGGAAGUUGAAAACAUGAUAAAAGCUAGUUUGUCUUCUAUUGCAGAAACUAUCAAUAGGCAGUAUAAAAGGUAUCUUUGUAUGAAUGUGUCUGAGCUGAUGAGCACACAGACAGAAUCUGCUAGGCUACAUAACAUGGAUUCUGAAGAGGUGAUUGGCAUGUUUAGGGCAGCCAAGAAAAAAGCAAUGCAACGAUGUGCUACAUGUCCUCUAGAAUCUGUUCCCUAAAGAACAGAACUGUAGCCUAUCUAGAUUCUCUGAGUGCCUCAGAUAUGACUGAAAGGGUGACUUGGGCCAUUAGUGUCUCUCGCAGUAGGAGGCAGGCUAAUCGAGUGAGGAUGUCAGAGGUGACUAAGGAGAUUGCUCUGAGGGCGGAGCAAAAAAAACAGGAGACAGAACAGAAAGAAAGAAAGAAAAUUGUAAAACUUUUAAGACAAGACAAAUACAUUGACAAGAUUAAGGAACUGAUUACUAACGUGACUGAACAGACUUGGAUGGAUGUGCAGGAAUUGUUAUCUGGAAAUGUUAUUGACAGGUUGAUAUGCCACUAUUGGUACAGUGGCAGGGUAAAGGGACUGAAAAAAGGAAUGAAAGAUGUAUAUUUGGUAAAAUAUUGGCUGGAGGAUGAGAGUAGAGGGGUUGACUAUGACAUGAGCAAGUAUCAGCUUGCCUGUGACAUACUGUUCAAAGACUUGACAUUACUGUAGAAUAGUAUUUGUUAACAUCAAGGAUUUUUCCCUACCCAUUGACAAAAAUGUUCCAGUUUCACUUCUGUCUGACAAACAGGGAUUCUUUAUAAUAGGGUGGAAAAACAAUAGGGGGGUAAAUCUGUUAGCAAAUCAUUAGUGACUAAUACAUUUCAAUAAAAUAAAUACUUUUAUAAAAUUUUCAAACUGUAAAGAAUAGUAAACUAAAAGUUUAUGUCAUUAAUUUUAAACAUAUUAUAUACUAUUAUAAAAUUCACUAGAGGUAACCAUAGCCCUAACCUUUUUCUACUAUAUGUUUUAAGCUUUAAAAUAUAAAAUAUUUAAAAUAAAAUAGUACCUUAAUAAAAAAAGAUGUAAAUAAAACUGUCAAAUUAUAAAGAAUGAUCAUUCAAAAAUUUUUUUUAACAGAAAAGUAAAGCCCCUCUUUCUGUAAUUUUAUAACAAAACAUUUGUGUUGGGAUUGUUUUUGUUAAUUUGAUUAUUAUUCAUUUCCUUCAUGUAACUAUAACUUUUAAAAUGAUUAAACCUACAUAGUGUUUACAAUUGUUUUCCCAUUGCAUCACAUGUAAUACAGCAAAGUUUAAAAUUAAUAAUGAUCAUGACUUACUAACAUACUAAGUGUUUCUCUAGUCCUCCCAGUAGAUCUGAAAUAACACCAGUUGUUGUGUACUACUUGUCAUUCCCAUUUUUAAUAUUGCGUUUAUUUUUUUUUUUCUAGCACACUAUUUUGGUUUAUAUCAUCUAAUAAAAAAAAAGCUAAUCAACUAUUUUUCUUAGCUAUUUUUACUAUCACUAAUGAUAUGUGGUACAUCAUCACUUUUUAUAUAACGUUCCUUGUUAAAAUUUAUUUUAUUGAUAGUUCAUAAAGAAUUAAUUUAAAUUAUGUUUAAUGUAAAGCCAUAACUUUCAAAUUAAAAUAUUUAAUAAUUUUUAUAAACAAUAUUAUUAGUUUUAUAAAAUUGUCUUCACUUCAAGUUUGUGACUGUAAAGAUAUGUAAACUCUCCUUUUUAUAUUCAUGUGUACCAUUAAAAAUUAAGUUUUUUCAAACACAAAUCAUCAUAUAGCCUAUUAACUUUUCAUCAUUCAAAUAUUAAACUCUCAUAAAAAACAACAACUUUUUUUUUUCAAAUCCAUUUAUUAUUAACUCUUCAUUAAAUUAAACAUUAAACUUUUCAUAAAUUCAUAUGUGCCUUAUACUUUCGUGAUGGUGUCUAAAUUCCCACAUGUGCCUUAUACUUUCGUGAUGGUGUCUAAAUUCCCACAUGUGCCUUAUACUUUCAUGAUGGUGUCUAAAUUCCCACAUGUGCCUUAUACUUUCGUGAUGGUGUCUAAAUUCCCACAUGUGCCUUAUACUUUCGUGAUGGUGUCUAAAUUCCCACAUGUGCCUUAUACUUUCAUGAUGGUGUCUAAAUUCCCACAUAUGCCUUAUACUUUCGUGAUGGUGUCUAAAUUCCCACAUGUGCCUUAUACUUUCAUGAUGGUGUCUAAAUUCCCACAUGUGCCUUAUACUUUCGUGAUGGUGUCUAAAUUCCCACAUGUGCCUUAUACUUUCGUGAUGGUGUCUAAAUUCCAACAUGUGCCUUAUACUUUCAUGAUGGUGUCUAAAUUCCCACAUGUGCCUUAUACUUUCGUGAUGGUGUCUAAAUUCCCACAUGUGCCUUAUACUUUCGUGAUGGUGUCUAAAUUCCCACAUGUGCCUUAUACUUUCGUGAUGGUGUCUAAAUUCCCACAUGUGCCUUAUACUUUCGUGAUGGUGUCUAAAUUCCCACAUGUGCCUUAUACUUUCGUGAUGGUGUCUAAAUUCCCACAUGUGCCUUAUACUUUCGUGAUGGUGUCUAAAUUCCCACAUGUGCCUUAUACUUUCGUGAUGGUGUCUAAAUUCCCACAUGUGCCUUAUACUUUCGUGAUGGUGUCUAAAUUCCCACAUGUGCCUUAUACUUUCGUGAUGGUGUCUAAAUUCCCACAUGUGCCUUAUACUUUCGUGAUGGUGUCUAAAUUCCCACAUGUGCCUUAUACUUUCGUGAUGGUGUCUAAAUUCCCACAUGUGCCUUAUACUUUCGUGAUGGUGUCUCAAUUCCCACAUGUGCCUUAUACUUUCGUGAUGGUGUCUAAAUUCCCACAUGUGCCUUAUACUUUCGUGAUGGUGUCUAAAUUCCCACAUGUGCCUUAUACUUUCGUGAUGGUGUCUAAAUUCCAUGUGCCUUAUACUUUCAUGAUGGUGUCUAAAUUCCCACAUGUGCCUUAUACUUUCGUGUUGGUGUCUAAAUUCCCACAUGUGCCUUAUACUUUCGUGAUGGUGUCUAAAUUCCCACAUGUGCCUUAUACUUUCGUGAUGGUGUCCUUCAACUCCUUGCAUGUCAUCAGAGUCCCUUCGGCAACAUUUACUUAAUCAUCAUCCAGUACAUACUAACUUGCAUGCCAUCAGAGUCACUUGGCUCCAUUUACUUAAUCAUCAUCCAGUACAUACUAACUUGCAUGUCAUCAGAGUCACUUGGCUCCAUUUACUUAUUCAUCAUCCAGCACAUACUAACUUGCAUGUCAUCAGAGUCACUACGGCACCAACAAAUUAACCAACAUUGACUUCAUCAUCAUUCUAUGCUGCUUACUUGCAUGAUAUCUGCUUUGCUACGCUUCUAACACAAAGAAGCCACCAUUUACUUUAUCGUCAUUCAUCACUGACUAAUUUGCAUGUCAUCGAGUCCCUACGUCACUAACAAACCACCAUUGGCUUCAUCAUCAGUUGGUCGAACUUAAUUUCUAUGUUAUCACAUUCAUCUUCUAUGUUAUCAGCACAAUCCAGCAAUCAUUUAUGCCUUGCCAUCUUACCAUGCUAUACUUCAAAAUUAACAUCAUAUUAUCAAUUGUCAAGAAACAUUUAUAAAGAGAGACCUGACAACCCAGCAAGUCCGACAUUUCGUUUUUCAAAUUAAGGACACAGAAUAGAGCUGCAAUAUAUAUGGAUCCAUCAAUCAGAGAUUCAAUUCAAAUAUUGCUAAGAGUUUGCCCUCAUGAUCCAAGUGAAAAAGACUUUGCACCAUGAGUUCUGGAUGUUAACACUGCAGACAAUUCCAUUAUUCUUCACACAACGCCAUAGCCCACAAUUAAGACCAUCAUUUAUAAUGGCUUUGAAGAAUGAAGUGUAUA